GAUGAACGCUGGCGGCGUGCCUAAUACAUGCAAGUCGAGCGAACAGACGAGGAGCUUGCUCCUCUGACGUUAGCGGCGGACGGGUGAGUAACACGUGGAUAACCUACCUAUAAGACUGGGAUAACUUCGGGAAACCGGAGCUAAUACCGGAUAAUAUAUUGAACCGCAUGGUUCAAUAGUGAAAGACGGUUUUGCUGUCACUUAUAGAUGGAUCCGCGCCGCAUUAGCUAGUUGGUAAGGUAACGGCUUACCAAGGCAACGAUGCGUAGCCGACCUGAGAGGGUGAUCGGCCACACUGGAACUGAGACACGGUCCAGACUCCUACGGGAGGGAGCAGUAGGGAAUCUUCCGGAAUGGGCGAAAGCCUGACGGAGCAACGCCGCGUGAGUGAUGAAGGUCUUCGGAUCGUAAAACUCUGUUAUUGGGGAAGAAAAAAUGUGUAAGUAACUAUGCACGUCUUGACGGUACCUAAUCAGAAAGCCACGGCUAACUACGUG
RNAcentral lists this ribosomal RNA (497 nucleotides) under uncultured bacterium. Its description in RNAcentral is "partial 16S ribosomal RNA". It matches the Rfam family "Bacterial small subunit ribosomal RNA", at positions 28 to 507 of the family's 1533-position model. The record is from RNAcentral.